Molecule: ribosomal RNA, 486 nt
Filed under: uncultured bacterium
Lineage: Bacteria
Description: partial 16S ribosomal RNA
Rfam family: Bacterial small subunit ribosomal RNA
Source: RNAcentral
GAUGAACGCUAGCGGCAGGCUUAAUACAUGCAAGUCGAGGGGCAGCAUGAAGUAGCAAUCCUUUGAUGGCGACCGGCAAACGGGUGCGGAACACGUACACAACCUUCCUUUAAGUGGGGAAUAGCCCAGAGAAAUUUGGAUUAAUACCCCGUAACACAACGAAGUGGCAUCACUUUGUUGUUAUAGUUUCGGCGCUUAAUGAUGGGUGUGCGUAUGAUUAGAUAGUUGGCGAGGUAACGGCUCACCAAGUCUACGAUCAUUAGCUGAUGUGAGAGCAUGAUCAGCCACACGGGCACUGAGACACGGGCCCGACUCCUACGGGAGGCAGCAGUAAGGAAUAUUGGUAAAUGGACGCAAGUCUGAACCAGCCAUGCCGCGUGAAGGAUUAAGGUCCUCUGGAUUGUAAACUUCUUUUAUAUGGGACGAAAAAAGGUCUUUCUAGACCCCUUGACGGUACCAUAUGAAUAAGCACCGGCUAACUCCGUG